Molecule: ribosomal RNA, 429 nt
Filed under: Acidobacteriota bacterium
Lineage: Bacteria; Pseudomonadati; Acidobacteriota
Description: Acidobacteria bacterium partial 16S ribosomal RNA
Rfam family: Bacterial small subunit ribosomal RNA
Source: RNAcentral
UGGGGAAUUUUGGACAAUGGGGGAAACCCUGAUCCAGCCAUCCCGCGUGUGCGAUGAAGGCCUUCGGGUUGUAAAGCACUUUUGGCAGGAAAGAAACGUCAUGGGUUAAUACCCCGUGAAACUGACGGUACCUGCAGAAUAAGCACCGGCUAACUACGUGCCAGCAGCCGCGGUAAUACGUAGGGUGCAAGCGUUAAUCGGAAUUACUGGGCGUAAAGCGUGCGCAGGCGGUUCGGAAAGAAAGAUGUGAAAUCCCAGAGCUCAACUUUGGAACUGCAUUUUUAACUACCGGGCUAGAGUGUGUCAGAGGGAGGUGGAAUUCCGCGUGUAGCAGUGAAAAGCGUAGAUAUGCGGAGGAACACCGAUGGCGAAGGCAGCCUCCUGGGAUAACACUGACGCUCAUGCACGAAAGCGUGGGGAGCAAACAGG